AAAACUCCCUUGACGGUACUUAAUGAAUAAGCCCCGGCUAAUUAUGUGCCAGCAGCCGCGGUAAUACAUAAGGGGCGAGCGUUAUCCGGAAUUAUUGGGCGUAAAGGGUGCGUAGGCGGUUUAAUAAGUCUAUAGUUUAAUUUCAGUGCUUAACGCUGUUGUGCUAUAGAAACUGUUUUACUAGAGUGAGUUAGAGGCAAGCGGAAUUCCAUGUGUAGCGGUAAAAUGCGUAAAUAUAUGGAGGAACACCAGAGGCGUAGGCGGCUUGCUGGGACUUUACUGACGCUGAGGCACGAAAGCGUGGGGAGCAAACAGGAUUAGAUACCCUGGUAGUCCACNCCGUAAACGAUGAGUACUAAGUGUCGGGUAAAACCGGUACUGAAGUUAACACAUUAAGUACUCCGCCUGAGUAGUACGUACGCAAGUAUGAAACUUAAAGGAAUUGACGGGACUCCGCACAAGCGGUGGAUCAUGUUGUUUAAUUCGAAGAUACACGAAAAACCUUACCAGGUCUUGACAUUUUCUUGCGAAGUUAUAGAAAUAUAAUGGAGGUUAUCAGGAAAACAGGUGGUGCAUGGUUGUCGUCAGCUCGUGUCGUGAGAUGUUAGGUUAAGUCCUAAAACGAGCGCAACCCUUGUCGUUAAUUGCCAGCAUGUAAUGAUGGGGACUUUAACGAGACUGCCAAUGAAAAAUUGGAGGAAGGUGGGGAUUACGUCAAAUCAUCAUGCCCCUUAUGAUCUGGGCUACAAACGUGAUACAAUGGUUGAUACAAAGAGUAGCUGAAACGCGAGUUCUUAGCCAAUCUCACAAAA
Molecule: ribosomal RNA, 812 nt
Filed under: Cassava frogskin disease phytoplasma
Lineage: Bacteria; Bacillati; Mycoplasmatota; Mollicutes; Acholeplasmatales; Acholeplasmataceae
Description: bacterial SSU rRNA
Rfam family: Bacterial small subunit ribosomal RNA
Source: RNAcentral